GUGAACCUGCGGAAGGAUCAUUACCGAGUGCGGGUCCUUUGGGCCCAACCUCCCAUCCGUGUCUAUUGUACCCUGUUGCUUCGGCGGGCCCGCCGUUGGUCGGCGGCCGGGGGGCGCCUCUGCCCCCGGGGCCCGUUGCCCGCCGGAGACCCCCCCACGAACACUGUCUGAAAGCGUGCAGUCUGAGUUGAUUGAAUGCAAAUCAGUAAACUUUCAACAACGGAUCUCUUGGUUCCGGCAUCGAUGAAGAACGCAGCGAAAUGCGAUACGUAAUGUGAAUUGCAGAAUUCAGUGAAUCAUCGAGUCUUUGAACGCACAUUGCGCCCCCUUGUUAUUCCGGGGGCAUGCCUGUCCGAGCGUCAUUUCUGCCCUCAAGCACGCUUGUGUGUUGGGUCGCCGUCCCCCUCUCCGGGGACGGGCCGAAAGGCAGCGGCGGCACCGAGUCCGGUCCUCGAGCGUAUGGGGCUUUGUCACAUGCUCUGUAGAAUGGCCGGCCCCUGCCGAACGUUUCAACCAUUCUUUCCAGGUUGACCUCGGAUCAAGUAAGGAUACCCGCUGAACUUAA
RNAcentral lists this ribosomal RNA (565 nucleotides) under Aspergillus sp. E51. RNAcentral describes it as "eukaryotic LSU rRNA". The stretch from base 209 to 362 matches the Rfam family "5.8S ribosomal RNA". Lineage: Eukaryota; Fungi; Ascomycota; Eurotiomycetes; Eurotiales; Aspergillaceae. The record is from RNAcentral.